UACAGAGGGUGCAAGCGUUGUUCGGAAUUACUGGGCGUAAAGGGCGCGUAGGCGGCUUGGUAAGUCAGGCGUGAAAUCCCGGGGCUUAACUCCGGAAGUGCGCUUGAAACUACCUCGCUAGAGUGCAGUAGAGGUUGGUGGAAUUCCCAGUGUAGAGGUGAAAUUCGUAGAUAUUGGGAGGAACACCGGUGGCGAAGGCGGCCAACUGGGCUGCAACUGACGCUGAGGCGCGAAAGCGUGGGGAGCAAACAGG
RNAcentral lists this ribosomal RNA (253 nucleotides) under uncultured bacterium. RNAcentral's name for it is "partial 16S ribosomal RNA". It matches the Rfam family "Bacterial small subunit ribosomal RNA", at positions 524 to 776 of the family's 1533-position model. The record is from RNAcentral.